RNAcentral lists this ribosomal RNA (252 nucleotides) under uncultured bacterium. RNAcentral's name for it is "partial 16S ribosomal RNA". It matches the Rfam family "Bacterial small subunit ribosomal RNA", at positions 524 to 776 of the family's 1533-position model. The record is from RNAcentral.
UACGUAGGGUGCAAGCGUUAAUCGGAAUUACUGGGCGUAAAGCGUGCGCAGGCGGCUUUGCAAGACAGAUGUGAAAUCCCCGGGCUUAACCUGGGAACUGCAUUUGUGACUGCAUGGCUAGAGUGCGGCAGAGGUGAUGGAAUUCCGCGUGUAGCAGUGAAAUGCGUAGAUAUGCGGAGGAACACCGAUGGCGAAGGCAAUCCCCUGGGCCUGCACUGACGCUCAUGCACGAAAGCGUGGGGAGCAAACAGG